GAUGAACGCUGGCGGCGUGCUUAACACAUGCAAGUCGAACGAAGCACUUUAUUUGAUUUCCUUCGGGACUGAUUAUUUUGUGACUGAGUGGCGGACGGGUGAGUAACGCGUGGGUAACCUGCCUUGUACAGGGGGAUAACAGUUGGAAACGGCUGCUAAUACCGCAUAAGCGCCCAGCAUCGCAUGAUGCAGUGUGAAAAACUCCGGUGGUAUAAGAUGGACCCGCGUUGGAUUAGCUAGUUGGUGAGGUAACGGCCCACCAAGGCGACGAUCCAUAGCCGACCUGAGAGGGUGACCGGCAACAUUGGGACUGAGACACGGCCCAAACUCCUACGGGAGGCAGCAGUGGGGAAUAUUGCACAAUGGGCGAAAGCCUGAUGCAGCGACGCCGCGUGAGCGAAGAAGUAUUUCGGUAUGUAAAGCUCUAUCAGCAGGGAAGAUAAUGACGGUACCUGACUAAGAAGCACCGGCUAAAUACGUG
This 481-nucleotide ribosomal RNA is filed under the name uncultured bacterium. RNAcentral's name for it is "partial 16S ribosomal RNA". It matches the Rfam family "Bacterial small subunit ribosomal RNA", at positions 28 to 507 of the family's 1533-position model. The record is from RNAcentral.